RNAcentral lists this ribosomal RNA (496 nucleotides) under uncultured bacterium. RNAcentral's name for it is "partial 16S ribosomal RNA". It matches the Rfam family "Bacterial small subunit ribosomal RNA", at positions 28 to 506 of the family's 1533-position model. The record is from RNAcentral.
GAUGAACGCUGGCGGCGUGCCUAAUACAUGCAAGUCGAGCGAACAGACGAGGAGCUUGCUCCUCUGACGUUAGCGGCGGACGGGUGAGUAACACGUGGAUAACCUACCUAUAAGACUGGGAUAACUUCGGGAAACCGGAGCUAAUACCGGAUAAUAUAUUGAACCGCAUGGUUCAAUAGUGAAAGACGGUUUUGCUGUCACUUAUAGAUGGAUCCGCGCCGCAUUAGCUAGUUGGUAAGGUAACGGCUUACCAAGGCAACGAUGCGUAGCCGACCUGAGAGGGGGAUCGGCCACACUGGAACUGAGACACGGUCCAGACGCCUACGGGAGGCAGCAGUAGGGAAUCUUCCGCAAUGGGCGAAAGCCUGACGGAGCAACGCCGCGUGAGUGAUGAAGGUCUUCGGAUCGUAAAACUCUGUUAUUAGGGAAGAACAAAUGUGUAAGUAACUAUGCACGUCUUGACGGUACCUAAUCAGAAAGCCACGGCUAACUACGU